Molecule: microRNA precursor, 70 nt
Filed under: Echinops telfairi (small Madagascar hedgehog)
Lineage: Eukaryota; Metazoa; Chordata; Mammalia; Afrosoricida; Tenrecidae
Description: miRNA (ENSETEG00000024259.1)
Source: RNAcentral
GGCUGGGCUGGGCUGGGCAGGGCAGCCCACCACUGUCUCACGUGCUCCUGCUGCUGCUGCUUCUCUGACC